RNAcentral lists this ribosomal RNA (763 nucleotides) under uncultured Streptococcus sp. RNAcentral's name for it is "bacterial SSU rRNA". It matches the Rfam family "Bacterial small subunit ribosomal RNA", at positions 28 to 776 of the family's 1533-position model. Lineage: Bacteria; Bacillati; Bacillota; Bacilli; Lactobacillales; Streptococcaceae. The record is from RNAcentral.
GACGAACGCUGGCGGCGUGCCUAAUACAUGCAAGUAGAACGCUGAAGGAGGAGCUUGCUUCUCUGGAUGAGUUGCGAACGGGUGAGUAACGCGUAGGUAACCUGCCUGGUAGCGGGGGAUAACUAUUGGAAACGAUAGCUAAUACCGCAUAACAGUAGAUAUCGCAUGAUAGCUGCUUGAAAGGUGCAAUUGCACCACUACCAGAUGGACCUGCGUUGUAUUAGCUAGUUGGUGAGGUAACGGCUCACCAAGGCGACGAUACAUAGCCGACCUGAGAGGGUGAUCGGCCACACUGGGACUGAGACACGGCCCAGACUCCUACGGGAGGCAGCAGUAGGGAAUCUUCGGCAAUGGACGGAAGUCUGACCGAGCAACGCCGCGUGAGUGAAGAAGGUUUUCGGAUCGUAAAGCUCUGUUGUAAGAGAAGAACGAGUGUGAGAGUGGAAAGUUCACACUGUGACGGUAUCUUACCAGAAAGGGACGGCUAACUACGUGCCAGCAGCCGCGGUAAUACGUAGGUCCCGAGCGUUGUCCGGAUUUAUUGGGCGUAAAGCGAGCGCAGGCGGUUAGAUAAGUCUGAAGUUAAAGGCUGUGGCUUAACCAUAAUACGCUUUGGAAACUGUUUAACUUGAGUGCAGGAGGGGAGAGUGGAAUUCCAUGUGUAGCGGUGAAAUGCGUAGAUAUAUGGAGGAACACCGGUGGCGAAAGCGGCUCUCUGGCUUGUAACUGACGCUGAGGCUCGAAAGCGUGGGGAGCAAACAGG